UACGGGGGGGGCAAGCGUUGUUCGGAAUUACUGGGCGUAAAGGGCUCGUAGGCGGCCAACUAAGUCAGACGUGAAAUCCCUCGGCUAAACCGGGGAACUGCGUCUGAUACUGGAUGGCUAGAGGUUGGGAGAGGGAUGCGGAAUUCCAGGUGUAGCGGUGAAAUGCGUAGAUAUCUGGAGGAACACCGGUGGCGAAGGCGGCAUCCUGGACCAAUUCUGACGCUGAGGAGCGAAAGCCAGGGGAGCAAACGGG
RNAcentral lists this ribosomal RNA (253 nucleotides) under uncultured bacterium. RNAcentral's name for it is "partial 16S ribosomal RNA". It matches the Rfam family "Bacterial small subunit ribosomal RNA", at positions 524 to 776 of the family's 1533-position model. The record is from RNAcentral.